This 74-nucleotide transfer RNA is filed under the name Pichia kluyveri. RNAcentral describes it as "tRNA-His". It matches the Rfam family "tRNA". From Rfam's summary of the family: Transfer RNA (tRNA) molecules are approximately 80 nucleotides in length. Lineage: Eukaryota; Fungi; Ascomycota; Pichiomycetes; Pichiales; Pichiaceae. The record is from RNAcentral.
GGUAAAUAUAAUUUAAUAGGUUAGAAUGAAUACUUGUGGCGUAUGUGAUCUGAGUUCAAGUCUCAGUAUUUACC